This 253-nucleotide ribosomal RNA is filed under the name uncultured bacterium. Its description in RNAcentral is "partial 16S ribosomal RNA". It matches the Rfam family "Bacterial small subunit ribosomal RNA", at positions 524 to 776 of the family's 1533-position model. The record is from RNAcentral.
UACGUAGGGACCAAGCGUUGUUCGGAUUUACUGGGCGUAAAGGGCGCGUAGGCGGCGUGGUAAGUCACUUGUGAAAUCUCUGAGCUUAACUCAGAACGGCCAAGUGAUACUGCUGUGCUAGAGUGCAGAAGGGGCAAUCGGAAUUCUUGGUGUAGCGGUGAAAUGCGUAGAUAUCAAGAGGAACACCUGAGGUGAAGACGGCGCUCUGGGCCGGAACUGACGCUGAGGAGCGAAAGCGUGGGGAGCAAACAGG